UAUAUUUUAUCUAUGGGAUGAUUAAUGCAGGAAGAUAUUGCCGAGGGAUAUAGAAAUCAGGAUUCCCACAAAAUUCUCAAUCCAUUAGCAGGUCAUAUUGAUGUGCCUUCACCAGUCUCUUUCAUGUCUACAUUGGACAACACUAUGAUGAAGAUCUACACCUCGAUGAACCUACAACAAACCUUGCUUCACGAGGUCAGGAUCCUCCACCACCUAGGAAGGUAGAUGAUCACGAGAGGCUCGUCAAAGAUAUCGAAUUGUGUUUUACUUCUUGAAGAGUAUUAACUUUGAAGGAUGUAAUUUAUACUCCUUUCAUGAAAACAUUUUGAUGUCUAGUUUUCUUUUUAACAAAGAAGGCUUUAAACAGAUUAUUGAAUCUGAUCAAUAUGUAAUUGUGAAGGAGGGUAUUUUUGUGGGAAAGACGUAUGCUUGUGAUGGGAUGUUCAAGAUGAAUGUUGAGAUAAAAAAAGUUUCUACUU
This is a long non-coding RNA of Solanum pennellii, 479 nucleotides long. RefSeq lists it as uncharacterized. The record is from RefSeq and is a predicted model, not a curated record. The transcript is spliced from 2 exons. NCBI's taxonomy places the organism in Eukaryota, Viridiplantae, Streptophyta, Magnoliopsida, Solanales, Solanaceae.